AUGAACUUCCUUGAUUCCCGCACGCUGAUCUGGGCCGGCCACCAUCGACCGGGGUCGCGAUCCAUCAAUGGACCCUCCUGCUCGACCCGCCAUCGUUCCCGCCGCUUGAUCGGGGCCGCUCGACCCCGGGUCAGGGAACGCAUGGUCGACCCGCGAACCAGCCAGCUAUGUUGUUCCGGUGCUGCUGACACAGCCGCCGUCGCCGGCUCGUCGAAUCCCGCGGCGUUGCCGCUCGGCGGACGCGUGGCCAUCGUGACCUGCGCGUCGCGCGGCAUCGGACGAGCCAUCGCGGCCCACCUCUCCUCCCUCGGCGCGAGCGUCGUCCUGGGCUACGCGUCCAGCACGGCCGACGCCGACGCGCUCGCCACGGAGCUCCCACGGGCCGUGGCCGUGAGGGCCGACGUGUCCGAGGAGGCCGGCGUGCGCUCCCUCUUCGACGCCGCCGAGUCAGCCUGCCGCACAUCCUGGUGGCCAACGCCGGCGUGA
Molecule: ribosomal RNA, 486 nt
Filed under: Triticum aestivum (bread wheat)
Lineage: Eukaryota; Viridiplantae; Streptophyta; Magnoliopsida; Poales; Poaceae
Description: partial small subunit ribosomal RNA
Source: RNAcentral